AACGGGUGAGUAACGCGUGAGGAACCUGCCUCAAAGAGGGGGACAACAGUUGGAAACGACUGCUAAUACCGCAUAAGCCCACGGGUCGGCAUCGACCAGAGGGAAAAGGAGCAAUCCGCUUUGAGAUGGCCUCGCGUCCGAUUAGCUAGUUGGUGAGGUAAUGGCCCACCAAGGCAAUGAUCGGUAGCCGGACUGAGAGGUUGAACGGCCACAUUGGGACUGAGACACGGCCCAGACUCCUACGGGAGGCAGCAUG
RNAcentral lists this ribosomal RNA (256 nucleotides) under uncultured bacterium. RNAcentral's name for it is "partial 16S ribosomal RNA". It matches the Rfam family "Bacterial small subunit ribosomal RNA", at positions 101 to 353 of the family's 1533-position model. The record is from RNAcentral.